Molecule: long non-coding RNA, 417 nt
Organism: Telopea speciosissima
Lineage: Eukaryota; Viridiplantae; Streptophyta; Magnoliopsida; Proteales; Proteaceae
Exons: 2
Source: RefSeq, a predicted model, not a curated record
GGAUUGCAUUGGUACCAUAGAUGGUACUCACAUUUAUGCGAUAGUCCCACAGAAAGAUCAAAUCCGAUAUAGAAAUCGAAAGGGGAUCACUACACAAAAUGUAAUGUGUGUAUGUAGUUUUGACAUGCGAUUCACAUUUGUAUAUAUGGGAUGGGAAGGAAGUGCAAAUGAUUGCAGAGUCUUUGAAGCAGCAAUGAGCAAUUCAGAUUUAAAUUUUCCUCAUCCACCUCCAGAGAAGUAUUAUGUUGUCGAUUCCGGGUAUGCAAGUCAAACCGGAUAUCUAACACCAUUUAGAGGUGAGAGGUACCAUCUACCAGACUACAAGGGGUAUAGGAGAAGAUCAAUAACAGCAAAGGAAUUAUUCAAUUAUAGGCAUUCAUCUUUUAGGAAUGUAAUUGAACGUACAUUUGGAGUUUU